Molecule: ribosomal RNA, 253 nt
Filed under: uncultured bacterium
Lineage: Bacteria
Description: partial 16S ribosomal RNA
Rfam family: Bacterial small subunit ribosomal RNA
Source: RNAcentral
UACGUAGGGUGCGAGCGUUGUCCGGAAUUAUUGGGCGUAAAGAGCUUGUAGGCGGUUUGUCGCGUCUGCUGUGAAAUUCCGGGGCUCAACUCCGGACUUGCAGUGGGUACGGGCAGGCUAGAGUGUGGUAGGGGAGACUGGAAUUCCUGGUGUAGCGGUGAAAUGCGCAGAUAUCAGGAGGAACACCGAUGGCGAAGGCAGGUCUCUGGGCCAUUACUGACGCUGAGGCACGAAGGCCAGGGGAGCAAACGGG